ACUACACUGUAAGUUUCUGAAAUUGUGGAAUCUAUAAUUAGAAUCACUGAGAUGGUAUGUGAAGUCUGAUAUGUGAGCCAUCGGUUGUUACUAAACUAUAUACCUAUAGACAAGAAUUGCUUAAAAAUCUAGGUCUCGUCCUGACAGUUCCACUCUUUACAUGAAGAUCGAAUACAUUAGUGUUUUCAGUGAUCCGUUAUCAUCCCUAGAAUUGAAUCACUUAGUAGUCUUUAACAGUGCAAUUAUUUCGGCUUUCCGCUCUGAGAGACCAGGGAUCGAGUCUCGGGUCCCACCCAUUGAAAUAUUUGUCAUGAGAUCCGGGUCCGAUCCGUCGAUUCCAAUCCUCCACAAUCCGGCUAACCCCUCCGUA
RNAcentral lists this long non-coding RNA (370 nucleotides) under Androctonus crassicauda. Lineage: Eukaryota; Metazoa; Arthropoda; Arachnida; Scorpiones; Buthidae. The record is from RNAcentral.